RNAcentral lists this ribosomal RNA (505 nucleotides) under uncultured bacterium. RNAcentral describes it as "partial 16S ribosomal RNA". It matches the Rfam family "Bacterial small subunit ribosomal RNA", at positions 28 to 507 of the family's 1533-position model. The record is from RNAcentral.
GACGAACGCUGGCGGCGUGCCUAAUACAUGCAAGUAGAACGCACAGUUUAUACCGUAGCUUGCUACACCAUAGACUGUGAGUUGCGAACGGGUGAGUAACGCGUAGGUAACCUGCCUGGUAGCGGGGGAUAACUAUUGGAAACGACAGCUAAUACCGCAUAAUAUUAAUUAUUGCAUGAUAAUUGAUUGAAAGAUGCAACUGCAUCACUACCAGAUGGACCUGCGUUGUAUUAGCUAGUAGGUGAGGUAAAGGCUCACCUAGGCGACGAUACAUAGCCGACCUGAGAGGGUGAUCGGCCACACUGGGACUGAGACACGGCCCAGACUCCUACGGGAGGCAGCAGUAGGGAAUCGUCGGCAAGAGACGAGAGUCUGACCGAGCAACGCCGCGUGAGUGAAGAAGGUUGUCGGAUCGUAAAGCUCGGUUGUAAGAGAAGAACGGGUGUGAGAGUGGAAAGUUCACACUGUGACGGUAUCUUACCAGAAAGGGACGGCUAACUACGUG